This 497-nucleotide ribosomal RNA is filed under the name uncultured bacterium. Its description in RNAcentral is "partial 16S ribosomal RNA". It matches the Rfam family "Bacterial small subunit ribosomal RNA", at positions 28 to 507 of the family's 1533-position model. The record is from RNAcentral.
GAUGAACGCUGGCGGCGUGCCUAAUACAUGCAAGUCGAGCGCACGGACUUGAUGCUUGUUUCUCUGAUAUUAGCGGCGGACGGGUGAGUAACACGUGGGUAACCUACCUUUAAGACUGGGAUAACUUCUGGAAACGAGUGCUAAUACCGCAUGAUAUCUUUAACCACAUGUUUCAAGAUUGAAAGAUGGUCUUGCUUUCCUCUAUAGAUAUAUCCGCUCUUCUUUAGCUAUUUGGUAAGGUAACGGAUUACCAAGGGAACGAUGCAAGCCCAACCUGAGAGGGUGAUCGGCAACACUGGAACUGAGAAACGGUCAAGACUCCUACGGGAGGAGGCAGUGGGGAAUCUCGGGAAAUGAGGGAAAGCCCGACGGAGAAAGGCGGCGGGAGGGAGGAAGGUCUUGGGAUCGUAAAACUCGGUUAUUAGGGAAGAACAUAGGGGGAAGUAAAUGUGCACAAAUUGACGGUACCUAAUCAGAAAGCGACGGCUAACUACGUG